RNAcentral lists this ribosomal RNA (453 nucleotides) under uncultured bacterium. RNAcentral's name for it is "bacterial SSU rRNA". It matches the Rfam family "Bacterial small subunit ribosomal RNA", at positions 34 to 504 of the family's 1533-position model. The record is from RNAcentral.
CGCUGGCGGCGUGCUUAACACAUGCAAGUCGAACGGAAAGGCCCUUCGGGGUACUCGAGUGGCGAACGGGUGAGUAACACGUGGGUGAUCUGCCCUGCACUUUGGGAUAAGCCUGGGAAACUGGGUCUAAUACCGAAUAUGACCACGCGCUUCAUGGUGUGUGGUGGAAAGCUUUUGCGGUGUGGGAUGGGCCCGCGGCCUAUCAGCUUGUUGGUGGGGUAAUGGCCUACCAAGGCGACGACGGGUAGCCGGCCUGAGAGGGUGACCGGCCACACUGGGACUGAGAUACGGCCCAGACUCCUACGGGAGGCAGCAGUGGGGAAUAUUGCACAAUGGGCGCAAGCCUGAUGCAGCGACGCCGCGUGAGGGAUGACGGCCUUCGGGUUGUAAACCUCUUUCAAUAGGGACGAAGCGCAAGUGACGGUACCUAUAGAAGAAGGACCGGCCAACUAC